This 1441-nucleotide ribosomal RNA is filed under the name Burkholderia mallei FMH. RNAcentral describes it as "16S ribosomal RNA". Lineage: Bacteria; Pseudomonadati; Pseudomonadota; Betaproteobacteria; Burkholderiales; Burkholderiaceae. The record is from RNAcentral.
CGCGGGCGGCGGGACGGAGUGAGCGAGCCGGCGCCGCCGGAGCGAGCGAGGCCGAACGGGUCAAGCGGGCUGGCAUAGCCGAACGGCCGCGCUCGGGCGGGGAUGAGGCGGCGGCGACGCGGCCGAACGGCCGCCGCGCCGCGCCAGACUGGACCGAAUCGCAACGCGACGGACCGCCGCAGCGCACGCCCCUGCACGCCCCUGCACGAUGCGGCCGCGAACGGGCGGGAGCGGAACGAAGCGAAACGAAUAAGCGCCCGCAAGCCUCGGCCGGACGCGUCACGCGCGCUCGCGACGUGCGGCGGCCGCGGCAGGCGGCGAAAGCGCCGCCUGCCGGGCGGCGCGAGUGCCGGAAAGAGCCGGCCCGGCGCGCGUCACGCGGCGAAUCGCGCGCGGCCGCCGAGGUCGAUCGGCGAUCGGCGAUCGGUUACCGACAGCCGACGGUCGACAACGGACAGCGGGUGACCGGCCGACGCCGGAACGCGCGUCGCCGCGCCCGGCCGGAUCGGCGCGUAUCAGAUCGGCAGCAACGUCAGCAACGGCGCGAUCAGCACCAUCGCGACGCCCGCGAUCAUCAUCGUGAGGCUCGACACGACGCCUUCCUCGCUACCGAUCUCGCGCGCCUUCGCGGUGCCCACCGCAUGCGCGGCCGCGCCGAACAGCGCGCCGCGCGCGAGCCGCGAGCGCAGCGGCACGAGCGCGAGCACGAAUUCGCCGACGAGCAUCCCGCAAAUCCCGGUCGCGAUCACGAAGAGCGCGGUGAGAUCGCGCGGCGCGUGGAUCCGGUCGGAAACGGCGAGCGCGAACGGCGUCGACACCGAGCGCGUGACGAGGCUGCGCUGCAGCUCGGGCGACAGAUGCAGCAGCUUCGACAGCAGCAGCGAGCCGCAGAUCGCGACCGCGAUCCCGACGACGACGCCCACCGCGAGCGAGAACCAGUGGCGCUUCAUCAGCUCGCGGUAUUCGUAGAUCGGCACGGCGAACGCGAUCGUCGCCGGGCCGAGCAGCCACAUCAGCCAGCGCGUGUCGCGAAAGUACACCGCGUACGGAAUGCCCGUCAGCGCGACGAACGCGACGAGCACGGCCGGCACGAGCACGAGCGGCGAGAAGAACAGCGUCUUGCGGCACGCGUAGAGCCGCUUCGACGCGAAGUAGAGCGCGAUCGUCAGCGCGAAGCAGCCGGCGGAAAUCGCGGCGCUCGAAGGCGCGGUGAGAAACGAGAGAUCGGGCGUCGUCAUGAUGCGGCCUUCGGAACCGGUGCCAUCAACGAAUGGCAUGAAAUGGGGAAAGGGGAAACCGUGCCACGUCAGGCCCGCGCGCGGCGGCGGCCGGCACGCACGCGCAUCACCGCGAGCCGCCGCUCGAAGCCCGCCGCGACGUCGACCGCGAUCGCCACCGACAGCAUCACGAACGUGGUUCCGGCGACGACGACGAGCGCGAG